UGAUAGGGGCAGGAUUUAAACCCGCCUUAGCGGGGCUACAACCCGCUGCUAAAACACUUAACUACCCUACC
This 71-nucleotide transfer RNA is filed under the name Xantusia henshawi. RNAcentral describes it as "tRNA-Tyr". The record is from RNAcentral. Lineage: Eukaryota; Metazoa; Chordata; Lepidosauria; Squamata; Xantusiidae.